UACGUAGGGGGCAAGCGUUAUCCGGAUUUACUGGGUGUAAAGGGAGCGUAGACGGAAUUGCAAGUCUGAUGUGAAAAUCCGGGGCCCAACCCCGGAACUGCAUUGGAAACUGUAUUUCUAGAGUGUCGGAGAGGCAAGUGGAAUUCCUGGUGUAGCGGUGAAAUGCGUAGAUAUCAGGAGGAACACCAGUGGCGAAGGCGGCUUGCUAGACGAUGACUGACGUUGAGGCUCGAAAGCGUGGGGAGCAAACAGG
RNAcentral lists this ribosomal RNA (253 nucleotides) under uncultured bacterium. Its description in RNAcentral is "partial 16S ribosomal RNA". It matches the Rfam family "Bacterial small subunit ribosomal RNA", at positions 524 to 776 of the family's 1533-position model. The record is from RNAcentral.